UACGAAGGUCCCAAGCGUUAUCCGGAUUUAUUGGGUUUAAAGGGUGCGUAGGCGGCUUAUUAAGUCAGGGGUGAAAGACGGUGGCUCAACCAUCGCAGUGCCCUUGAUACUGAUGAGCUUGAAUACACUUGAGGUAGGCGGAAUGUGACAAGUAGCGGUGAAAUGCAUAGAUAUGUCACAGAACACCAAUUGCGAAGGCAGCUUACUAAGGUGCAAUUGACGCUGAGGCACGAAAGCGUGGGGAUCAAACAGG
This 253-nucleotide ribosomal RNA is filed under the name uncultured bacterium. Its description in RNAcentral is "partial 16S ribosomal RNA". It matches the Rfam family "Bacterial small subunit ribosomal RNA", at positions 524 to 776 of the family's 1533-position model. The record is from RNAcentral.